AUUACUUUGUUUUCUAUUUACUGAAUUUAUAAAUAAAAAUUAUAUUUAUUUAAUUUAUUAAUAAAAUUUUAAUUGAAAUUAAAUCGAAUAGAAAAUUUUUUUUUGGCCGAAUUAAAAUGAAAUUAUAUAAUAUAUAAAUAAGUUUUGAAUUUUAAAAUACAAUAACAAAAAAAAAAACUAAUGUUGCAUUGCCGCGUCGUAGAAUUCCUCGCUCCUUCUCGAGAGAUCUUCCUCGUUGACUUGCACGGAUGUCUCGCCUGGAAUGGGGUUUUGUUGUCUCAUGGUCCUGAACAUGGCCUCCCAUUCCGGAUUUGUGGCCGCUAUGACGUCCAAGAAGUUCUCGAGACCAGUCAUACGAGCUGUGAACGACGAUUUUGUCGAGGCCAACUCGUUUUGUGUCGACGACAGCUGAUGUUGUGUCGUCUCCAACACGUCGCGCAGCUGAGAGACUUCAUCAUCCCGUCUC
Molecule: long non-coding RNA, 466 nt
Filed under: Brassica napus (rape)
Lineage: Eukaryota; Viridiplantae; Streptophyta; Magnoliopsida; Brassicales; Brassicaceae
Description: long non-coding RNA (BNAP_LNC010315)
Source: RNAcentral